UACAGAGGGGGCGAGCGUUGUUCGGAAUUACUGGGCGUAAAGGGCGCGUAGGCGGCCUUCUAAGUCGAACGUGAAAUCCCCGGGCUCAACCCGGGAACUGCGUCCGAUACUGGAAGGCUUGAAUCCGGGAGAGGGAUGUGGAAUUCCAGGUGUAGCGGUGAAAUGCGUAGAUAUCUGGAGGAACACCGGUGGCGAAGGCGACAUCCUGGACCGGUAUUGACGCUGAGGCGCGAAAGCCAGGGGAGCAAACGGG
Molecule: ribosomal RNA, 253 nt
Filed under: uncultured bacterium
Lineage: Bacteria
Description: partial 16S ribosomal RNA
Rfam family: Bacterial small subunit ribosomal RNA
Source: RNAcentral